AAAAACAUCGCCUCCUGCAAAACCCACCAACGUACAGGAGGUCCUGCCUGCCCAGUGACAACUAGUUAAACGGCCGCGGUAUUUUGACCGUGCUAAGGUAGCGCAAUCACUUGUCCUUUAAAUGAGGACCUGUAUGAAUGGCGGAACGAGGGCUUAACUGUCUCCUUUUUCCAGUCAAUGAAAUUGAUCUGCCCGUGCAGAAGCGGACAUACCAAUACAAGACGAGAAGACCCUUUGGAGCUUAAGACACCGAGCCAACUAUGUCAAAGGCCCAAAUUAAACUUCAAGCCAAACAAACAGCUAACUGGCCACUGUCUUCGGUUGGGGCGACCACGGGGGAAAACAAAGCCCCCACGUAGAAUGGGAACCACACCCUAAAACCAAGAGGGACACCUCUAAGCCACAGAACAUCUGACUAAGUAGAUCCGGCUAAUUAAGCCGAUCAACGGACCAAGUUACCCUAGGGAUAACAGCGCAAUCCUUUCCAAGAGUUCAUAUCGACGAGAGGGUUUACGACCUCGAUGUUGGAUCAGGACAUCCUAAUGGUGCAGCCGCUAUUAAGGGUUCGUUUGUUCAACGAUUAAAGUCCUACGUGAUCUGAG
This 602-nucleotide ribosomal RNA is filed under the name Metynnis calmoni. Its description in RNAcentral is "partial 16S large subunit ribosomal RNA". It matches the Rfam family "Bacterial large subunit ribosomal RNA", at positions 1809 to 2609 of the family's 2925-position model. Lineage: Eukaryota; Metazoa; Chordata; Actinopteri; Characiformes; Serrasalmidae. The record is from RNAcentral.